Salvia miltiorrhiza (redroot sage) is the source of this 933-nucleotide long non-coding RNA. RefSeq lists it as uncharacterized. Lineage: Eukaryota; Viridiplantae; Streptophyta; Magnoliopsida; Lamiales; Lamiaceae. The transcript has 6 exons. The record is from RefSeq and is a predicted model, not a curated record.
UCCCUCGGUAAAUUGAAUUAAAUUACUUCCCUGGUUUCCACCCCACAACACUUUCCCUCCCCAAAUUAGAAGCCCUAAUCGCUGCUGCCGUCCGCCUCAUUUGCGUUGCCGUCCACCUCCAUUGUUUCCGCUGCCAUCCACCAUUUGCGCUGUGAGCUCUCUCUCUCUCUCUCUCUCUCUCUCUCAUUGCCAGCCACCACAUCCUUGUCAGCUUCCUCAUUCCACUGUCGCUUUUGCCGUCGCCACGGCCACCGCCGCUCGCCGCCUGUCGCCCACUGCUUUUCAAGUUAUACUCCUCUAAUAUCAGCUUUUCAAGUUAUACUCCACUGAAUUGGAUUCGAAAGUCUGGGAUUGAGAAGAACACUGCAGAAUUUCUAGCAGCUAAAGAAAUUGAACUGUGAGUGAGCCAGAAAAGUAUGGUUAGACUGCUGACUGGAAGAAAGUAAAUAUUGAGCUCCUAAGCAGAAGUAUCCCCUCUUCGAUCAUCAUAAUUUGAGGCUUACUUUGAGGAAGAUUUUCAACAGAAAGCCAAUAUACUUCAUGUGGAUCUAACAAAGCAUUAUACCACUCCGCCCUUAACUCGUGAGAAGUAUAGGAAGAAGUCAAGAACAAGAAAAGAGAUUGAAAGAUUGUGAGCAACGGAGGAGCGCGAGCAUACACUCCAGCAUCUUCAGGCAGAGCGCGAGCAGAGAGUCCGAUUGGAGGAGUCACUUCGGGUGACUAAUGAGAUGCUCCAGUAGUUCUUGAGGUCCCAGUAGUCGAGGAGUAGUGGCUCGGGAGGUUCUUAACUUUCAUGUAGUACAUUUUGAUACAUUAUAAUGAUAUUUCGCUUAAAUGUAUUUUAUUUAGUAUUUUUUAUGUUAUUAUGAUAUUUACACAUAAACAUUUGGAUAUUGAACAAUGUCGAAUGAAUUUUAAAUUAUGUUUAGAUUA